GAUGAAGAACGUAGCGAAAUGCGAUAAGUAAUGUGAAUUGCAGAAUUCAGUGAAUCAUCGAAUCUUUGAACACACAUUGCGCCCGCCAGUAUUCUGGCGGGCAUGCCUGUUCGAGCGUCAUUUCAACCCUCAGGCCCCCAGUGCCUGGUGUUGGGGAUCGGCCCAGCCUUCCUGUAAGGCCGCCGGCCCCGAAAUCUAGUGGCGGUCUCGCUGUAGUCCUCCUCUGCGUAGUAGCACAACCUCGCAGUUGGAACGCGGCGGUGGCCAUGCCGUUAAACACCCCACUUCUGAAAGUUGACCUCGGAUCAGGUAGGAAUACCCGCUGAACUUAAGCAUAUCAAUAAGCGGAGA
This 351-nucleotide unclassified non-coding RNA is filed under the name soil metagenome. Its description in RNAcentral is "partial contains 5.8S ribosomal RNA, internal transcribed spacer 2, and large subunit ribosomal RNA". The stretch from base 1 to 120 matches the Rfam family "5.8S ribosomal RNA", at positions 35 to 154 of the family's 154-position model. The record is from RNAcentral.